Molecule: long non-coding RNA, 2491 nt
Filed under: Sus scrofa (pig)
Lineage: Eukaryota; Metazoa; Chordata; Mammalia; Artiodactyla; Suidae
Description: lncRNA (ENSSSCG00015041107.1)
Source: RNAcentral
CCAGGAAGCGCCUGCGCGGAGCAGUGGGAAGGUCACGGCCCGGCCGGGCCCUAGCUGUGCUCCGGCCCACGCCAAACUGGAGGACCCUGCUUAAUCCAAGAUCGCCAAUGAGGAGUCAGUAGAGUCCUGAGAGUCAGUUCUAACGCUUCAAGAGGAUUUUAACUCUCUUUCCCCUCUCAGUCCCCAGGAACUCAUGCUCCGCUCGACGUUGGCUUCCGCGGAACAUGAACCUACAAGCUUGAAGCCGCCCCUUCUCCCCACCGCCAGCCCUCACCAGUGUAGUGUGCCUGUCCUCAGUUGAAAGAUGAGCCAAGUGAGAAUGUUGGAUGAAGGAACCAAAUUGAUAUUCAUCAUCCUAUUGAAAACAACUCAGAUCCACAGGUCUUCUGAUGGCAGUCUGUGGCUGAACCAUGUGAAUGAAAGUUGGGCAGGUUCAAGGAAAAGGCAGGAAGUGGGCUUUCUUUGUCACAAGGAAAAGCCAGGAGAUGUGCCCAAGGGAAUGAGGAAAGGCUGGAAGAAUCUCAUGGAGAAAAUUGGUCUGGCAGGGCACAUAGGAUUGUUGGCAACAGUGGUUCCUGAGUCAAUGAGUCGACAGCAUGAUUUCAGCACUGCCUUUGUUCAAAGACAUAGACUGCAACUCAGUAGGAAUAUAGAACUACCAUGGGCCACACAUGUUCAAGACUUUCCUGCCAGUCAGGGGACCAGAGAAAUGCUGGUCUCGCAGAGCCAGCUAGCGUGUCUCUACAUGAAGAUGGCAGCGGACACCUUUUUGAGAACAAGGAAAUCCCAGCGGAAGGAAGGAUCUAUCAGUUGCUCCUGUUUCAUGCCAAGAAUUCUAAGUGAGAAGCCUUCCCCUAGAGGCUCAGAGAAGGCUGGAAGGCAUCUGUAGGUGAACAGGGCUGCUCUUCAUUGUGACCCAUGGUGCAGAGAAGCUCUGAACUCAGCGCAAAGGGGUGACCAGCCCCUUAAAAUCAGGAGAACGGGAGUUCUUGUCCUGGCUCAGUGGUUAACGAACUCGGCUAGCAUCCAUGAGGAUGUGGGUCAGAUUCCUGGCCUUGCUCAGUGGGUUAAGGAUCUGGCAUUGCCAAGAGCUGUGGUGUAGAAGUGAGAUGCGGCUCAGAUCCCUUGUUGCUGUGGCUGUGGUGUAGGCUGAUGGCUACAGCUCUGAUUGGAUCCCUAGCCUGGGAACCUCUGUAUGCCUUGGCCCCGGCCCUAAAAAACCAAAAAAAAAAAAAAAAUCAGGAAAAUGUAUUUAUCCAUGACCUAGCCCACUGGGGGCACAGGAAGGGGGGGAGGGGAUUGUCACCAGCUGUAGUCACAAAGCUUGUCUGAGUCCCUUUCCCUAAGCAAAAGGGCUGUGUGAGUUUAUGUAGGGAAAUGCCAGUUAAAAAAAAGAGUUAAACUGAUUUUAAAAAGUUAAAGGUCUUUUCUGCAGGACCUUUCAGGGGUUUCAGAAAAUGAGGUAAUGUGAAAAUGUACAUUGUGACAACUCCAAGAAUGGCAUAGAGCAUGCAGAAUUUUGUUGUUGUUGUUGUUCUUUUUAGGACUGUGCCAUGGCAUUUGGAAGUUCCCAGGAUAGGGGUCAAAUCAGAGCUGUAGCCAUUGGCCUUCACCAUAGCCACAGCAACGCCAAAUCCGAGGUGCGUCUCGCUCCAUAGCUCUAUGCCGGAUCCUUAACCUGCUGAGUGAGGCCAGGGAUAGAACCUGCAUCCUCAUGGAUAUCAGUCAGAUUUGUUUCCUCUGAGCAACGACAGGAACUUCAGAACAUGCAGAAUCNGUUUCCUCUGAGCAACGACAGGAACUCCAGAACAUGCAGAAUAAUGAAAUACUUGCCUGUGCAGCAUUUGGGAGGCACUUGUGUUCUGAGGAAAACCCUUGGGGAAACACUGAUCUAAUCCGACCUUCUCAUUUUACCAGAGAGCAACUAUGGUCAGGCAUUUUUUACCUGUGGGGCCCUGUCAGGUUCCUUUCUUCAUCACUGUUACACACUUGUUGGAAUUAACUUGAUCAAAAUUGGGGGGCAGCUUUGAAGAGAUCUCUUUUAUUCAUAAACCCUUUUUGUAUGUUUCAAGGGCAAAUUACACUAUAUAUUUUGAGUUUCCAUGGUCAAGAACCAGAUUAAUGCAACUAAACCUUAUAUAAUAUCACUUUUACCUAAAGAUCUUUACAUACAAAGAUAGAAACUGUAGUUCUUACUAUACAGGACAUUAAUAAUAAUGACAAAUACUAUACUGAUGGCCAUAAUAUGACCAUCUAACAUUUAUCAAAUGCCUUUCUGUUUGUCAGACACCUUAGUAAUACUUUUAUCUUCCCAGCAGUUUAUGUGGUUGGGGUUAUAAUAACCCCCAUUUCACAGUGAUGAAGAGGGUAAGACAUUAUUCCACGGCCACAUGCAGCUGGAGGAGAGAAGGUAUAUGGAAAUAUUCCUUAUGAGUGACACAAAGUGCUAUAUGAAUUCUGAGAAAAAUAAAAUUUUCAAAAGACUUGAUCA